Molecule: RNA transcript, 1958 nt
Organism: Setaria italica (foxtail millet)
Lineage: Eukaryota; Viridiplantae; Streptophyta; Magnoliopsida; Poales; Poaceae
Exons: 1
Source: RefSeq, a predicted model, not a curated record
ACACGUCCAGUCGAUAUGCAGUUGGACAAGGGCAGGUGCACGAAUCCAAGCUCCCUGGAUGCCUAUAUAACGUCCCCAGCACCAAGCAUCACCACACACUACAAAUUGCUCCAGAUAAGCGCGGUCCGAGGAUGGCUCCACCGAUACCCGCCGCCGAUGCCGUGGUGGAGGCUGCCUCGGCCGUCGGCGCGGCCCCGGCCAUCGCGCCGAACGGAAUGGCCCGCAAGGACGUGCCGGCGCCGCCGCCGAUCUCCGUCGUCUCGAAGCAGACGGUUCGGCCGGCCGGCACAUCGGCGGUUGGAGACCUCAGGCUCUCGGUCUCGGACAUGCCCAUGCUUUCGUGCCACUACAUCCAGAAGGGGCUCUUCUUCCGGCCUCCCGGCGUGGUGAUGGCCUCGCUGGUGCCGUCGCUCGUCGCGGCGCUCUCACGCGCGCUCGGUGUCUUCCCUGCCCUCGCCGGCCGGCUCGUCACGCUCGACGACGACAGCAUCGUGAUCCGCUGCGGCGGCGACGCGGCCGUCGAGUUCUACCACGCCGUCGCGCCGGCUCUGUCGCUCGGCGACUUUCUCGUGCCCGGCGCCGACGUUCCGAUCAGGCUCACGAACGGCCUGUUCCCUAUGGACCGGACGGUGAGCUACGGCGGCCACGGCCGCCCUCUCACGUCGUUCCAGCUCACCGUGCUCGGCGACGGCGCCGUGUUCGUCGGCUUCGUCGCCAACCACGCCGUCGUUGACGGCACCUCCUUUUGGCACUUCUUCAACACGUGGGCGGGGCUGUGCCGCGGCGCGCCGGUCCGGGAGCCAGACUUCCGCCGCAACUUCUUUGGCGACUCCACCGCCGUCCUGCGCUUCCCCGGCGGCGUGGGCCCGGCCGUGACGUUCGACGCCGAGGCGCCCCUCCGCGAGCGAAUCCUCCACUUCAGUGCCGCCGCGAUUCGCGAGCUGAAGGCGACAGCCAACCGCUGGAAAAGAACCGGUCAAGACUCCGAGGUUAACGGCAAGGUCACGCACGACUCCAAGGUUCAGUGCGGGUGCCGCGAAAUCUCGUCGUUCCAGUCGUUGUGCGCGCACGUAUGGAGGGCGGUGACACGCGCGCGCCGGCUGUUGGCGGCCGACAAGACGACGACGUUCCGCAUGGCCGUGAACUGCCGGCACCGCCUGCGCCCGGCGAUCUCCCCGCUCUACUUCGGCAACGCCAUCCAGAGCGUGGCGACGAAGGCGACCGUGGCCGAGCUAGCGUCCAACGACCUGGGCUGGGCGGCGGCCAAGCUGCACGCGACCGUGGCGGCGCACGAGGACGGCGCGAUCCGGCUGGCGGCGGCGGAGUGGGAGGCAGCGCCACGGUGCUUCCCGCUGGGCAACCCCGACGGCGCGGCGCUCACGAUGGGGAGCUCGCCACGGUUCCCGAUGUACGACGGGAACGACUUCGGGUGGGGCCGCGCCCUCGCUGUGCGGAGCGGCCGCGCGAACAAAUUCGACGGCAAGAUGUCGGCGUUCCCGGGCCAGGCUGGGGAUGGCAGCGUCGACGUGGAGGUUUGCCUCGCGCCUGACACCAUGGCUUGCCUCCUCCGCGACGAGGCGUUCUUGCAGUACGUGACAGAGUGAAGCAUCUGAUGUGCGACAUGCUUGUUGCCGCGCAGCUCCACCGUUACUGGAUUUGCACGCUUUCAAAAGAUAUCAAGUGCUUGUGAGUUGUGGCCUUGUAGUUGUAGAGAUGUCGUACUGCUGGUUCCUUCGUGAUGCCGUUGUAGGCUAGUACUUGGUGACUUGUGUUUGUGAGUAGGGUGCAAACUAGGAUGAUGUACGGAUGCAUUCACUACUCCCUCCGUUUCAAAUUGUAGGUCGUUUUGAUUUUUCUAGGUUCAUUAUUCUCCAACACUCCCCCUUACGUGCAGUCUCAUUUAGGGCGUAUACGUGGAAAUUGGAGUGGGCUGCAAUUAUUUUUUUAACCGCCCCCGA